UUAACGAAAUAAUCAAAACUUGGUGAAGUAAAACAUUUUAUUAACUAAGUAAAAAAUCAACCGAGAAUUCGUUAGUAGUGGUGAGCGGAAGCGAAGUAGACUUUAAGCUAGAGAAUUCGUUUUUUUAAAUCCAAAGAAGGUUAAAGUCCUGUAAAAAGGACGUUUUUCUAGAUGUACUAUACAACGGAUUAUGUUAAAUCUGUUGAGUAUUGGGGAUCUGCCCUCAAGUCUAUUAAAUCUUUAAUAAUCGAUAGUGAACUAGUACCGUAAGGGAAAGGUGAAACAAAACUUUUUUAGAGUUAAAAAGAAUCUAAAACUUAAUACAUAUAAUCUGUUGGAGCUUUCUUUUUUUAAAGAAAAGUGACAGCGUACCUUUUGCAUAAUGGGCCAGUAAGUUUAUAAUUAAGGCAAGCUUAAUUUCAAUCAGUAGGCGUAAAGAACUUGAAGUUUUAAAGUGCUUAUAAGUCUUGAUUAUAAGACCCGAAGCUGAGUGAUCUAACCAAGAACAGGUUGAAAAAAUAAUGGAAACAUUUUUUGGAGGACCGAACCGGUAUCUGUAGAAAAAGAUUCGGAUGAUUUUUGGUUAGGAGUGAAAGGCUAAUCAAACUCAGUGAUAGCCGGUUUUCUGCGAAAUAUAUUUUAGUAUAGCCUACAAAUUUAGUUAAAACAGGGUAAAGCUCUUUUGAAAUGCGGGGGAUAUUUUAUCUUACUUAAUUUUGAAAAACUUUGAAUAUGUUUUAAUUUUUUGUGGAGUCAGACGAUGGAUGCGAAGGUCCUUCGUCGAAAGGGAAACAGCCCAGACUAUUUGAUAAGGCCUUCAAUUAUAAGUUGAGUGAAAAGAUAGUGUUGGGAUAAAGACAAUUAUAAAGUAGGCUUGGAAGCAGCCAUCUUUUUAAGAAAGCGUAACAGCUCAUUAAUCGAGUUUUAAUGCGUCAAAAAUGUAUAGAGACUAAAACUUAUAGCCGAAUCAGUAGAUCUUUGGUAGCAGAACGUUUGGUUUAUUGUAAAGAUAUUUUGUGAAAAAUGUUUGAGAUAUCCAAAGUGAGCAUACUGGCAUUAGUAGCGUGAAACAAUGUUUAAUCAUUGUCGCCGAAAAUCUAAGGUUUUCAAUACAACAGUUGAUGAUAUUGAAAAAAAUUAAAGCGGUCCCUAAGGCAAAAUACAAAUGUCUAAGCUGAUGGGA
This 1183-nucleotide ribosomal RNA is filed under the name Gymnodinium catenatum. RNAcentral describes it as "partial Bacterial large subunit ribosomal RNA". It matches the Rfam family "Bacterial large subunit ribosomal RNA", at positions 166 to 1423 of the family's 2925-position model. Lineage: Eukaryota; Dinophyceae; Gymnodiniales; Gymnodiniaceae. The record is from RNAcentral.